UACGUAGGGGGGCAAGCGUUUGUCCGGAUUUUAUUUGGGCGUAAAGAGCGUGUAGGCGGUUUUUUACAGGGUCCGCUGUGAAAACUCGAGGCUCAACCUCGAGCUGUCGGUGGAAACCAUAUGGCUAGAGUCCGGAAGAGGAGACUGGAAUUCCUGGUGUAGCGGUGAAAUGCGCAGAUAUCAGGAGGAACACCGGUGGCGAAGGCGGGUCUCUGGGCCGAUACUGACGCUGGAGGAGCGAAAGCGUGGGGAGCGAACAGG
Molecule: ribosomal RNA, 261 nt
Filed under: uncultured bacterium
Lineage: Bacteria
Description: partial 16S ribosomal RNA
Rfam family: Bacterial small subunit ribosomal RNA
Source: RNAcentral